Molecule: transfer RNA, 85 nt
Filed under: uncultured Clostridium sp.
Lineage: Bacteria; Bacillati; Bacillota; Clostridia; Eubacteriales; Clostridiaceae
Rfam family: tRNA
About the family: Transfer RNA (tRNA) molecules are approximately 80 nucleotides in length. Their secondary structure includes four short double-helical elements and three loops (D, anti-codon, and T loops).
Source: RNAcentral
GAGAGAUGGUCGAGCUGGCUUAAGGCACCGGUCUUGAAAACCGGCGUACGUUUACGCGUACCGUGGGUUCAAAUCCCACUCUCUC